This 956-nucleotide long non-coding RNA is filed under the name Homo sapiens (human). RNAcentral describes it as "HSALNT0362982". The record is from RNAcentral. Lineage: Eukaryota; Metazoa; Chordata; Mammalia; Primates; Hominidae.
ACACACCUAGGGAGUUUGCUGUUGGCCUGCGAAGACCCUUUAUGGGACAUGGAUCAAAAGUGCUGUUCCUCGAGAUACUUACCUCCAGUAUAGGAUCCUGGUGUCAAAAGGAAUCAGAUACGGCUCCAUUGUACAUGGCAUGACUUGUAUAGCCAGACAGAGCAGGUAUAUGUGAGUAUGGACUUCAUAAGCAAUACUCAAGACCUCAAAAGUGUAUCUUGGGGCCGGGCGUGGUGGCUCACACCUGUAAUCCCAGCACUUCAGAUGGCAGAGGCGGGUGGAUCACCUAAGGUCAGGAGUUUGAGACCAACCUGGCCAACAUGGCAAAACCCUGUCUCUACUAAAAAUACAAAAAUUAGCCGGACAUGGUGGCACACACCUGUAAUCCUAGCUACUUGGGAGGCCCAGGCAGGAGAAUACUUGAAGCCGGGAGGUGGAGGUUGCAGUGAGCCGAGAUUGCGCCAUUGCUCUCUAGCCUGGGUGACCAAAAAAAAAAAAAAAAAAAAAAGUGUAUCUUGGUCUAUCAGUAACAACUGGAUUUAGCAAAGAUGUGGACUUCCCCAGCCUAAUCUCUCGGCUACACCCAUGUCUGUCUUGCAGGUGUGGAAACUUCUGGAUGCCUGCUCUUGUGAGUUCACCUCUAUGUCUACUCUACUGAGGCCUCUCCAUACAGGUCUCAGUUUCCUGCCUUCCUGGGAAGUGGGGAAAGGCUGAGAGGCCCCGUGCUGGGGGUGAAGCUAAUUCAUUAGUUACGCCUCAACAAGGACCGGGUGCCUGCAGUGCCAGCGUGAUUCAUCAUGAUGAUUGCCCCACUGCCAGCCUGCGUGGGCCUGGAACGCCAGCACAUUUUACCUUUACCCACUGAGAAGGGCCUGGUGGGAGGUGAAGGUACAGGAUCUGCCGAGAGCAAGAAAAAGACUCUGAGAAAGAAGAGGGCUGGUCCUCCAUGCUCUCGG